AUUUAAAUAGCUUAAUUAUAAGAGUGUAAUAUUGAAGAUAUUAAGGUAAUCUCAUGAUUUUUAAAUA
This 67-nucleotide transfer RNA is filed under the name Neptis raddei. RNAcentral's name for it is "tRNA-Phe". The record is from RNAcentral. Lineage: Eukaryota; Metazoa; Arthropoda; Insecta; Lepidoptera; Nymphalidae.